Molecule: long non-coding RNA, 1375 nt
Filed under: Homo sapiens (human)
Lineage: Eukaryota; Metazoa; Chordata; Mammalia; Primates; Hominidae
Description: HSALNT0188491
Source: RNAcentral
CAGUAAACGCCUUCAAGCCACACAAAUCAGUUUAGUGCUUUGACAGGUAUACACCUGCUGGGCACCAACAUGCACCCUGGGUCUUUCAUCGAGGAGCUUGCAGGCUGGCUGGAAGGGACAAGAGUGUUCCUUGAGAGAGAACAGUUCAACACUGUGAUCAUGUGCCAAGGCCAGAAGUGAAGUAGCUCAGUUACUAAGACAAGAAAAACUCAGAGACCAAGCAGCCAGAGCUAUGGGGCACAGGAAACGGAGCCCAGGGAAGUUCCCAGCAUUGAGGCAUGAAUAUGGUGGUCUGCAAAAGGGCAGCUUUCCCGUGUAUGCAAUCUCAGCCACCAUUGGAAUCACUGAACCUGGAAUCACUGUAUCUGGAAAGGGCCGUGGGGGCCCUCUGUCCUACUCCCCACUAGAGCAGGGAAGGAUGAAGCCUGUGUAGACAAGGACUGCUGCCUGACAUGAGGAUGGAAGCCGAGUGCUUCUGUGUUUUUUCCCUAGCUGUUUACACAAAACAAGACUUUGGAAUAUGUGGAGUUUGCAAACAGUAACGUGAAGCGUGGAGGAGGGAGUUGGAACUUGUGCUCUACGGAAUGUGUUGUCAGUUCCAAAGAAAGCCUCUGAGGGUAAACCCUGGGCUCAGAGCAAUGCCGGGCUCACACAAGAUCUGUCGCUUGCUCCUGCUUGCCUGCCUGCCAGAGGGGCCCUCGCUCCUAUCACUACAACCAAAAUGUGCAAUGCAGUAGGAGUGUCUCAGCACUGUCUGCCAGUUUUCUCUUCUUCACCAUUUUCACAUUAAUUCCAGGGGAAGAGCAUCGAAAAAUUUCUGUUAUUUGGGUUGGUGAGAGGCAUAAAAUAACACAGAGCCAGUUUUCUCAGGGCAGAAACAAACUGGAAAGUUCUGGGUUUAGCUCUGUGAAUGACCAUCAUCUCACUGGCAAGGCAUUAAUUUCGGCAAUAACUCAUGGCUUUUCUACACAGCUAAGAGGGCCAUACACCAAUAUAUGGCACCUCAUAAUCUGUUUCCAUCCAGAGCCGGCAAUGUUAACUCAUUUUCCAGCUCCCCAUAUUCCAGCACUGAAUCUGAGCAUUAGUAUCUAGGAAGCAUUUUGCCCCUUCUGCCGUAAAUACAGCUAUUGCUGCUACUUGAAAGACAAUAACAUUGCUUGAGAUUGAUUUACUUCUCUUUCUCAACCAUAUUGUUUAUGUAUUUUAUGGCAAUAUACCAAAUGAACUUUGGGGAAGAAUGAAGAUACAAAUAUACAUAAAUAUAGCCAUUUCCCAACACAUCUAUUAAAUGUGUCAAUACUCUAUUGUUUUAAGAAUAUUGGCCGGCAGUGGCUCAUGCCUGUAAUCCCAGCACUUUGGGAGGCCGAGACAGGCG